UACGUAGGGGGCAAGCGUUGUCCGGAAUCAUUGGGCGUAAAGAGCGUGUAGGCGGCCCGAUAAGUCCGCUGUGAAAGUCCAGGGCUCAACCCUGGAAUGCCGGUGGAUACUGUCGGGCUAGAGUCCGGAAGGGGCGAGUGGAAUUCCUGGUGUAGCGGUGAAAUGCGCAGAUAUCAGGAGGAACACCAAUGGCGAAGGCAGCUCGCUGGGACGUGACUGACGCUGAGACGCGAAAGCGUGGGGAGCAAACAGG
This 253-nucleotide ribosomal RNA is filed under the name uncultured bacterium. RNAcentral describes it as "partial 16S ribosomal RNA". It matches the Rfam family "Bacterial small subunit ribosomal RNA", at positions 524 to 776 of the family's 1533-position model. The record is from RNAcentral.